RNAcentral lists this ribosomal RNA (478 nucleotides) under uncultured bacterium. RNAcentral describes it as "partial 16S ribosomal RNA". It matches the Rfam family "Bacterial small subunit ribosomal RNA", at positions 28 to 523 of the family's 1533-position model. The record is from RNAcentral.
GACGAACGCUGGCGGCGUGCUUAACACAUGCAAGUCGAACGGUAAGGCCCUUCGGGGUACACGAGUGGCGAACGGGUGAGUAACACGUGGGUGAUCUGCCCUGCACUUCGGGGUAAGCCUGGGAAACUGGGUCUAAUACCGGAUAGGACCCUGGGAUGCAUGUCCUGGGGUGGAAAGCUUUUGCGGUGUGGGAUGGGCCCGCGGCCUAUCAGCUUGUUGGUGGGGUGAUGGCCUACCAAGGCGACGACGGGUAGCCGGCCUGAGAGGGUGACCGGCCACACUGGGACUGAGAUACGGCCCAGACUCCUACGGGAGGCAGCAGUGGGGAAUAUUGCACAAUGGGCGCAAGCCUGAUGCAGCGACGCCGCGUGAGGGAUGACGGCCUUCGGGUUGUAAACCUCUUUCAGCACCGACGAAGCGCAAGUGACGGUAGAUGCAGAAGAAGGACCGGCCAACUACGUGCCAGCCGCCGCCGCUG